GAUUUGGUAUGAUACUUCUGAAAUCGAUGAUAUCGAUGAUAUCGAUGAGAUUAAUAUUCAAAUCU
Molecule: transfer RNA, 65 nt
Filed under: Suaeda glauca
Lineage: Eukaryota; Viridiplantae; Streptophyta; Magnoliopsida; Caryophyllales; Amaranthaceae
Description: tRNA-Ile
Source: RNAcentral